GAUGAAGAACGCAGCGAAAUGCGAUAAGUAAUGUGAAUUGCAGAAUUCAGUGAAUCAUCGAAUCUUUGAACGCACAUUGCGCCCGCCAGUAUUCUGGCGGGCAUGCCUGUCUGAGCGUCAUUUCAACCCUCAUGCCCCUAGGGCGUGGUGUUGGUGAUCGGCCAAAGCCCGCGAGGGACGGCCGGCCCCUAAAUCUAGUGGCGGACCCGUCGUGGCCUCCUCUGCGAAGUAGUGAUAUUCCGCAUCGGAGAGCGAUGAGCCCCUGCCGUUAAACCCCCAACUUUCCAAGGUUGACCUCAGAUCAGGUAGGAAUACCCGCUGAACUUAAGCAUAUCAAUAAGCGGAGGA
This 348-nucleotide unclassified non-coding RNA is filed under the name soil metagenome. Its description in RNAcentral is "partial contains 5.8S ribosomal RNA, internal transcribed spacer 2, and large subunit ribosomal RNA". The stretch from base 1 to 120 matches the Rfam family "5.8S ribosomal RNA", at positions 35 to 154 of the family's 154-position model. The record is from RNAcentral.